UUCGAUUCCGGAGAGGGAGCCUGAGAAACGGCUACCACAUCCAAGGAAGGCAGCAGGCGCGCAAAUUACCCACUCCCGGCAAGGGGAGGUAGUGACGAAAAAUAUCGAUGCGGGACUCUUUUGAGGCCCCGCAAUCGGAAUGAGUACACUCUAAGGAGUGGAGCCUGCGGCUUAAUUUGACUCAACACGGGAAAACUUACCCGGCCCGGACACCGGAAAGGAUUGACAGAUUAAGAGCUCUUUCUUGAUUCGGUGGGUGGUGGUGCAUGGCCGUUCUUAGUUGGUGGAGCGAUUUGUCUGGUUAAUUCCGAUAACGAACGAGACUCUAGCCUACUUAAUAGAGAACCGAUUUCCUCUCGUCGGUUACUCUUCUUAGAGGGACAAGCGGCGUUUAGCCGCACGAGACAGAGCAAUAACAGGUCUGUGAUGCCCUUAGAUGUCCGGGGCCGCACGCGCGCUACACUGAAGGAAUCAGCGUGUGUUCACCCUGGCCGAAAGGUCUGGGUAACCCGUUGAACCUCCUUCGUGAUAGGGAUAGGGGCUUGUAACUAUUCCCCUUGAACGAGGAAUUCCCAGUAAGCGCGAGUCAUAAGCUCGCGUUGAUUACGUCCCUGCCCUUUGUACACACCGCCCGUCGCUACUACCGAUUGAAUGAUUUAGUGAGGUCUUCGGACUGGUGCUCGGAGCGGCCCUCGGGUCGCGCCGGCGUACCGGAAAAGAUGACCAAACUUGAUCAU
RNAcentral lists this ribosomal RNA (737 nucleotides) under Nuncia americana. RNAcentral describes it as "bacterial SSU rRNA". It matches the Rfam family "Eukaryotic small subunit ribosomal RNA", at positions 376 to 1772 of the family's 1831-position model. The record is from RNAcentral. Lineage: Eukaryota; Metazoa; Arthropoda; Arachnida; Opiliones; Triaenonychidae.